Oxyura jamaicensis (ruddy duck) is the source of this 1874-nucleotide long non-coding RNA. RefSeq lists it as uncharacterized. The transcript has 3 exons. The record is from RefSeq and is a predicted model, not a curated record. NCBI's taxonomy places the organism in Eukaryota, Metazoa, Chordata, Aves, Anseriformes, Anatidae.
AAGAACAGCACAAUAUUUCCUAUGCACAGGAUCCCCCAAGGUUUUGCUGAGAUGCUCUGGCUAAUCCAGCUGCAGUUACAUAAGAGCAGAGGGAGAGGCUGCUUCUCGAGCACAGGCCAAGCAGAACAAGGCUUCCUGCCCUCGCUGCACGCAGCCAGGCGCAGAGCGGCUGUUCCAGGCUCCCCAGCUGCAGCGAGGCCGUUACCUCCCAACAGCAGUGAGCUCACUGUGGGCUCAGACAGAGGCCAGGGCUGCGGCCUGUGACAGGAGGGGAGACCAAAGGGAUCCCCGCAGCCAUCUGGAAUGGUCCCCAGGGGGAUGCCUGAGCCUCUGGGCAGUAUUAAGGGCGCUGGGACAUGGAGCUGGCUGAGCGAGGGAUAGCAUUUGUCCAGCAGCUGAUCCGUCAGCUGGCCUGAAGGCUGCAGCUCAGCUUCCAGUCUGCACCAACACCUUGGGAAUGGUGGCAAUAGGCCAGGGAGUGCUGCUGAGCAGCUGGAAGGAAGCAAGGGCAGUGAUGGACCUGGGCAAGAUGGCAAUUCUGAGAGGACAAGAGGCAUCUCUUCUGAUGUAUCAGCUUUUUGUCAAAGAGGGGUGAGGUGAAGAUUUGUGAUUACGGAAGUGGCAGCUUGAAAAGAACCAAGCAGUCUGGGACUGCAACAAUCUCGAACCAAAGACACAGAUGGCUUAGAGCAGGUGAAGCAGGCAUCUCACCUCCAUCUCCCAGACCUGGGUCUGCAGCUGAAGGCACCUCAUUUCCAGACCCUCUGCUGUGGAUGAGUCAGGAGCAUCUGAAAGGGAAGACUUGGUUUUUCUAUGCGCAGCCUUAAAGAAGAGCUACAGGCUGAUUUUUUGCAGUAUGGAUGACAUGAGCUCCAUGGCAGCGGGAGCUGCACCUGAAAGCACAAACACAGCACGUUACCUCCCUAAAAGGGCGACGGGUGUUGGAGGUAGGUCUGCACCAUCGGGGACCCCGUCCAAGAACUCCGGUCCUGCCACAGCAGGCAGGACAAGGGGACCCCUGGUGGGUACUGGGCACAAAUCCCUUGGUGGGUAGGGGGUGGCUGCAUCACUGACAGCAUGCUGUGUGUGAGAGGGAGACCACGCAAAUCAGCCCUGGCCUGGGGUAUUGAGUCCCCAAGCCUGUCCCUGAUGGCCCAGAACCCCCUAAUCGUUGAGGGACUUCACCCUGUGUAUUCUUUUCCAGUGUUGUCCCCCUUGAGCAGGAGGGGAGACUGCCUCGCUCUGGGUUCUUUGACCUGAGAAGAGGCACAAAGAGCAUGGAAGAAAGAAAACAGGUCGGCAUUUUGCGUAUGACUUCUCCAAAAGGAGGCACAGAAACAUGACGGCUACGCUAAGGGAGCAGGAGGGGAGGAGAAAGCAGAACAGCCCAAGGCUGUUCACUCCCAUAAGCACACUCAAAAUAAGAAGUGUGUGAGGGCACUCGUUAUGGCACAGGACCCAAGGGAACACACGAUCUCAGCAGCCACAAAGAGCGAUCGCAAAACGGGGCGAGCAGGAGGAGACCAUGCCGCUGAUACCGAGCAUCCUGAGCUGUGGGGCUGAAACCGGUGGCGCCGAGCUGGGCUAACAAAAAGCUCAGUCUGGGAGGAACAGAAGCAGCAACCUUCACUGACAGUGGAAAGACGGCUUUUGCUCUAAGGUCUCGUAGGAAGGAUGUGACCUAAAAUGGAACUGUAAAACUCGAAGAGGCUCUAAUGUGCAAUAGGGGUUGCUGAGGAUGUGGAAACCCUUUGUAACUUAUCUGAUUUUGGACACGUAGGAGAAAGAGCCACGAUCACUGCAAAACACGUACGACGGUAAGAAAAGCCUUGCCAGAAGACGCAAACAACAGAGCUCUGCCCUUUUUCUAAAAA